AUGCACGCUGGCGGCGUGCCUCACCCCUGCCAGUCGCGCGGCAGCGGGGGGUGCUUGCACCCUGUCGGCGAGCGGCGGACGGCUGAGUAACGCGUGGGAACGUGCCCCAAAGUGAGGAAUAACUGCCCGAAAGGGUAGCUAAUACCGCAUAUUAUCUUCGGAUCAAAGGAUUUAUCCGCUUUGGGAGCGGCUCGCGUCGGAUUAGGUAGUUGGUGAGGUAAUGGCUCACCAAGCCGACGAUCCGUAGCUGGUCUGAGAGGAUGACCAGCCAGACUGGAACUGAGACACGGUCCAGACUCCUACGGGAGGCAGCAGUGAGGAAUCUUCCACAAUGGGCGAAAGCCUGAUGGAGCAACGCCGCGUGCAGGACGAAGGCCUUCGGGUUGUAAACUGCUUUUAUAAGUGAGGAAUAUGACGGUAACUUAUGAAUAAGGAUCGGCUAACUACGUG
This 450-nucleotide ribosomal RNA is filed under the name uncultured bacterium. RNAcentral describes it as "partial 16S ribosomal RNA". It matches the Rfam family "Bacterial small subunit ribosomal RNA", at positions 29 to 507 of the family's 1533-position model. The record is from RNAcentral.